UGGAGGAAAAGAAACCAACCGGGAUGCCUAAUAACGGCGAAGUGAAGCGGCAAAAGCUCAAAUCCGAAAUCUGGCACCUUCGGUGUCCGAGUUUGUAAUUCUGAAGAAGCUACUUCUGGGGCUAGUCCUUCGUCUAUGUUCCUUGGAACAGGACGUCAUGGAGGGUGAGAAUCCCGUAUGGCGAGGAGUCUAGUCCUAUGUAAAGUGCUUUCGACGAGUCGAGUUGUUUGGGAAUGCAGCUCUAAGUGGGUGGUAAAUUCCAUCUAAAGCUAAAUAUUGGCGAGAGACCGAUAGCGAACAAGUACAGUGAUGGAAAGAUGAAAAGAACUUUGAAAAGAGAGUGAAAAAGUACGUGAAAUUGUUGAAAGGGAAGGGCAUUUGAUCAGACAUGGUGUUUUGCGACCCUCGCUCCUUGUGGGUGGGGAUCUCGCAGCUCACUGGGCCAACAUCAGUUUUGGCGGUAGGAUAAAUCUUUGGGAACGUGGCUUGUCUUCGGAGAAGCGUUAUAGCCCAGGGGAAUACUGCCAGCCGGGACUGAGGACUGCGACUUUUGUCAAGGAUGUUGGCAUAAUGGUUAAAUGCCGCCCGUCUA
This 592-nucleotide ribosomal RNA is filed under the name Lachancea thermotolerans. RNAcentral describes it as "eukaryotic LSU rRNA". It matches the Rfam family "Eukaryotic large subunit ribosomal RNA", at positions 51 to 655 of the family's 3401-position model. The record is from RNAcentral. Lineage: Eukaryota; Fungi; Ascomycota; Saccharomycetes; Saccharomycetales; Saccharomycetaceae.